RNAcentral lists this ribosomal RNA (497 nucleotides) under uncultured bacterium. RNAcentral describes it as "partial 16S ribosomal RNA". It matches the Rfam family "Bacterial small subunit ribosomal RNA", at positions 28 to 507 of the family's 1533-position model. The record is from RNAcentral.
GAUGAACGCUGGCGGCGUGCCUAAUACAUGCAAGUCGAGCGAACAGACGAGGAGCUUGCUCCUCUGACGUUAGCGGCGGACGGGUGAGUAACACGUGGAUAACCUACCUAUAAGACUGGGAUAACUUCGGGAAACCGGAGCUAAUACCGGAUAAUAUAUUGAACCGCAUGGUUCAAUAGUGAAAGACGGUUUUGCUGUCACUUAUAGAUGGAUCCGCGCCGCAUUAGCUAGUUGGUAAGGUAACGGCUUACCAAGGCAACGAUGCGUAGCCGACCUGAGAGGGGGGUCGGCCACACUUGGACUGGGACACGGUCCCGACCCCCACGGGAAGGAAGAGUUGGGAAACUUCCGGAAUGGGCGAAAGCCUGACGGAGCAACGCCGCGUGAGUGAUGAAGGUCUUCGGAUCGUAAAACUCUGUUAUUAGGGAAGAACAAAUGUGUAAGUAACUAUGCACGUCUUGACGGUACCUAAUCAGAAAGCCACGGCUAACUACGUG